UGUAAUGAACAGAUGCUCUGAGCAAUAAUUUAAUCUGAGGACCAGAACCAUGAGAAAAUGUAAUAAAAACCGUGAAGAUAGAUGGACAAUUACUGCGACAGGUGAUGGCCAAACAUAGCUCACGCCAGCAAAAUGCAAUUGCUUUUCCUGUAACAGCUAAUUCUAUAGGCAACAAUAACAUGGUAGGAGCUGUAUGUUGGGAUUUUGAUGUAUCUUCUACUGUAGUGACACAUCACUGGUCACAACAAGGGAUCACAACAUGUUACAGAUGCUCUUCCCCCACCCCAAAAAGCACCAGAACCUUCCCGACCAAUAGAUCGCUAUGGUCAUGCACACACCUGUUGGUUGACAGACAGGGCCCUUGACCAAUGCGAUGCCUCAGUUGAGAGACCUUUCUAGACCACACCCAUAAGUGACCACAGCUCAGGUUCAUCUAGGGGUAAGUGGAGCUCGUUAGAGCUCCUGUUUCACUCUUUUGAGUUGGUUUUCCUGGGGCAGCAGGUCUGCAGUGGAAGACUCUUCUCCUUAGACUGGCCAUCUAAGGAAAGUUCCUUAGGGACUGAGACCCCUCACCAAACUGGGAUGCAGGCUGCUCUCCAUCGUGCAGGGGAAACCCAAAUUUGAAGUGGUUCUGGGUAUGCAGAAAGCUAACAUAGGUGGUUGGGGUCUAGACAUGCCCAUACGAGCAGGAUCUGUGUCUGUUGAAUAAUUCCCACCUCUCCAUUAGCCUCAAAACAGACAAAUCUCCUUAUCUGAAGACUUUCCAAAGGAAGAAAUGGAUGUGGCAAUUCAGCUUCCCAAGCUGUGAGGGUCCACUACAGUCAAACUGUCCCUCUUCCAGUUCACGUGGGCAUUGUAUAGUCUUUCAAUAUUAAUAAUGGUAUGGAAUUAAUUAUUCUAACAACCAAGCUACUGUAAACACAUUGUGAUAUGCAGUUCUCACAUUCUUUUGUAAUGGAGUUAAUGAUAUUUUGCUUUGAGGUCUUACGUAGCAAAAAAUUAAUGAUCCUCAAGCAAGAAAUUCCGCAGGUGUCCUGGAGAAGACUUGGCUCUUCAAGCAAGACUUACCCUGUGGUCCAGCAACUCCGGUUUACCUGAAGAAAGAAGAUACAUUAACUGCUGCACAUCCACACAUUGUUCUUCUGUUACGACAGAGCAGGGACCGUUCUCCUGUGAAAAGUCCAUACUGCUGUGGUUGUGUGCUGGUUUUCAUUAACACACACAUAGAAAGACAAAUGAAGAAUAUGUCCAAAGCUGCUGGCCAUGAAACCAGAGUCUUCUGUCUAAGCAUGUAUUCCUCCUUUUUUUAGACCUACCUUGCUGGUUUCAGUUAAAAACGAAACCAAACCCUAAAAACCCAGACCAACACCAACAAAUGAAGCCAACAACACCAACUUUCCCAUUAUUAACCUUGCUGGCUUCUCUGCUUUCCUUUGGAUGAUCUCUCCAACUUUUUAAAAAUAUUAGGACAACGCUGGAAACCAGUUGCCACAAAGUGUUAACCCAGCUUUGCUUCAAAGUGAAGUGGUGGUUCACAAACCUCCUGAGUGUCUUCCUCUGGGAGACUCGGAUCCUUUCAUCUCCAGUGUUUGAUUUCAGCAGAUUCCAUCAUCUCACAUCUGUCUUGCUGACAAAGAUAAAAUCCUCGUUCCACCUACGGCAGCAAAGUUACCUGCUGGUUACAUCUGCAUUUUCCACGUGCUCUUCCUCCCACUAAAGCCUCGUAUUCUGGUUUUAAGACAUGCUGCUGCUGCAGCUCACUGGGCACUGAACCCUCCUUGUUCUGUUUGCCUUAUCUAUCUCAUUCCCAUAUUCCCUUUUAAUUAUGAGGGCGGUUUGCCAUGCUACCUCACUUCUAUUGCAUCUGUGGGAUGAUGUGUGUGCACGCACAUCCUCGAACAUUUCCUAAAUCUUAUAAAUAAUUACAUUGGCAUGGUUAAUCAUGCCAAAGAUCACUCUGAGCUUUAGAUGAGAAGUUCUGGUUAUCCAGAGCCUCUGGUGUGUUUGACAAACACUUUCCAAGUAUGGGAGUGAACACCAAAGCCCACAGGCCACAGAACACUGUUGGGUUCUCACCAUGACAGUGCAAGGGUCAGUGAACUUUACAUUAUAGACUUGUUCUUGCUUUUAGACACCUCUCAGAGAGCUGGAAGGUUCCAUAAGCUGGUGUCGGUCAUGACAAAUGUGCGCGCUGAGCGGAGCACUCAAACUAUACAUGAGAAAUCAUUGCUCCAGGAGCACCUUGAUGAACCUGGGGAACACCAGAGAUCACCUGCUGUCCAGGUAGUCAGUGAAACAAAUUAAUGGAAAGGUUGCUGGAAUGAUCAAAAAUCUGUAAAAGCAUAUGUUUUGAGUAGCUAAUAAUGUCCCUUCUUUGUUGGAAGUGAUUAUUUUUCAUUUAGCAGAUCCAAACAGUUAAUAAGGUGCAUCUUUGCUCAUUCUGUUCCUCAGCACCAAGGCACAGUCAAAGAGUGAAAUUAUUCUGUGCUUAAAAAGAAAACAGAACAAUAUGUUAAACUUGAGUUGUAAGUAAUAAUGUGUUUUCUGAAACAGUCCCUUUAGAAAUUGCAUUUUCUCAAAUCCUUGAAUUAUGCAGCAUAUUCAAAACGUGAAAGCAGUCACAACUUCCAUGCUCUGACCAAAUAACUGCUAUUUUAGUAACAAACAAUCUUUACAUCAAUGGGACAAAAUAGACACUUACAAACAUUCUAGAGUAAAACUUACAGAUCUGAGUUAGGGUAAACUAGGAAUGGUGUGUUAGUUAUGAAGAACCAUCAAUGUGCAUAGAAUGACAUCGCAUAGUAAUUGCUUUUUAUGCAUUUGUGGUGUCACAGUUCUCACCAUAUUAAAGUUUUUAUCACUUGUUUUGUUGUUUGAGCUCGUGCCAUGAUUACAUUUGCAAUUAUGUACCCACUGCUUCUCACCAAUAGCCAACACCUAUUGCUACUACUCCAUGUUAAAGCUAUCCUUUGAAAUUAUCAUCACCACUUCUAUUUUAGCAAUAGUAGCAUCAGCCCCAACUUAGAGGAAAUGCAUGUGAGCUAUGGGAAGCCUGACCUUGGAGAGGGAAAUCUGAGGUCUGACUAAUCAAGGCUUUUUAUGUAGACAUUCUUGCUCGUUUUUCCUGAAGAAAUCGUUGGUCAGGUAUCUUUUCAGAAGAUAUCUAGGCAGCAGCAGCUCCUCCUCAGGUCUUAGGACCACAAAUACCUGUUUCUAGCCUGGGCAGAGAGGGACUUUCUCAACCCUCACUUUAGGAUGUGCGAUUUUUCACGUGAUAAAUUUGGACUUUUUGCCCUUCUUACCGCCUUUUCCCGUUGACGUAUUCAAUGGGAGUAUUGAUGCCCAG
Molecule: long non-coding RNA, 3346 nt
Organism: Columba livia (rock pigeon)
Lineage: Eukaryota; Metazoa; Chordata; Aves; Columbiformes; Columbidae
Exons: 3
Source: RefSeq, a predicted model, not a curated record